GUGUCUGGUGGGUAGUUUGACUGGGGCGGUCUCCUCCUAAAGAGUAACGGAGGAGCACGAAGGUUGGCUAAUCCUGGUCGGACAUCAGGAGGUUAGUGCAAUGGCAUAAGCCAGCUUGACUGCGAGCGUGACGGCGCGAGCAGGUGCGAAAGCAGGUCAUAGUGAUCCGGUGGUUCUGAAUGGAAGGGCCAUCGCUCAACGGAUAAAAGGUACUCCGGGGAUAACAGGCUGAUACCGCCCAAGAGUUCAUAUCGACGGCGGUGUUUGGCACCUCGAUGUCGGCUCAUCACAUCCUGGGGCUGAAGUAGGUCCCAAGGGUAUGGCUGUUCGCCAUUUAAAGUGGUACGCGAGCUGGGUUUAGAACGUCGUGAGACAGUUCGGUCCCUAUCUGCCGUGGGCGCUGGAGAACUGAGGGGGGCUGCUCCUAGUACGAGAGGACCGGAGUGGACGCAUCACUGGUGUUCGGGUUGUCAUGCCAAUGGCACUGCCCGGUAGCUAAAUGCGGAAGAGAUAAGUGCUGAAAGCAUCUAAGCACGAAACUUGCCCCGAGAUGAGUUCUCCCUGACUCCUUGAGAGUCCUGAAGGAACGUUGAAGACGACGACGUUGAUAGGCCGGGUGUGUAAGCGCAGCGAUGCGUUGAGCUAACCGGUACUAAUGAACCGUGAGGCUUAACCUUACAACGCCGAAG
Molecule: ribosomal RNA, 689 nt
Filed under: Escherichia coli
Lineage: Bacteria; Pseudomonadati; Pseudomonadota; Gammaproteobacteria; Enterobacterales; Enterobacteriaceae
Description: partial 23S ribosomal RNA
Rfam family: Bacterial large subunit ribosomal RNA
Source: RNAcentral